ACAUACGCGUAGAGUUUGAUCCUGGCUCAGCCUGAACGCUGGCGGCGUGGCUAAGACAUGCAAGUCGAACGGGCGUAGCAAUACGUCAGUGGCGCACGGGUGAGUAAUGUAUCGCUAACGUGCCCCGGAGCCUGGGAUAGCUGUCCGAAAGGGCAGGUAAUACCGGAUGAGACCACGAACAGGCAUCUGUUUGUGCUCAAAGCCGCAAGGCACUCUGGGAGCGGGCGAUAUCGUAUCAGCUAGUUGGCGGGGUAACGGCCCACCAAGGCUGCGACGCGUAGCUGGUCUGAGAGGACGGCCAGCCACAUCGGGACUGAGACACUGCCCGGACUCCUACGGGGGCUGCAGUAACGAAUCUUCCGCAAUGCACGAAAGUGUGACGGAGCGACGCCGCGUGGAGGACGAAGUCCUU
Molecule: ribosomal RNA, 412 nt
Filed under: uncultured bacterium
Lineage: Bacteria
Description: bacterial SSU rRNA
Rfam family: Bacterial small subunit ribosomal RNA
Source: RNAcentral